This is a non-coding RNA of Carnobacterium inhibens subsp. gilichinskyi, 188 nucleotides long. The record is from Rfam. NCBI's taxonomy places the organism in Bacteria, Bacillati, Bacillota, Bacilli, Lactobacillales, Carnobacteriaceae.
AGAUUUCUGAGAUGUUCGUCUUGCUCAACAUGUGUUGACCGAACAAUUAAUAUUACCUUGGGAUCCAACCUGAUUCAAACGGAUAACAUGCCUUUUCACUUGGUAGUUAGAAGCUUGACAGCGGAGCCCACCUGCUAACUGCGGGUUCAAUACUAACUGAGCAUAAUAACGGCAUCAUCGGAUUUCUC